UACGUAGGUGGCGAGCGUUGUCCGGAAUUACUGGGCGUAAAGCGCGUGUAGGCGGGUGGCUAAGUCUGUGGUGAAAUCGCUCGGCUUAACUGGGCGGGGUCCAUGGAAACUGGUCACCUGGAGGUCGGUAGAGGCAAGUGGAAUUCCCGGUGUAGUGGUGAAAUGCGUAGAUAUCGGGAGGAACACCAGUGGCGAAGGCGGCCCCCUGGUUGGAUACUGACGCUGAGACGCGAAAGCCAGGGGAGCAAACGGG
RNAcentral lists this ribosomal RNA (253 nucleotides) under uncultured bacterium. RNAcentral describes it as "partial 16S ribosomal RNA". It matches the Rfam family "Bacterial small subunit ribosomal RNA", at positions 524 to 776 of the family's 1533-position model. The record is from RNAcentral.